GAUGAAGAACGCAGCGAAAUGCGAUAAGUAAUGCGAAUUGCAGAAUUUCCGUGAGUCAUCGAGUCUUUGAACGCACAUUGCGCCCCUUGGUUUACCAGGGGGCAUGUCUAUCCGAGCGUCGUUACACCCCUCAAGCCUGGCUUGGUCUUGGGGCGCGCCCUGCCUGGCAGGGCCGCCCUCAAAUGUAACUCGACGUGCCUAUUUGUUCGGGAGCGCAGCAGUUUUGCGGCUUUCGCUGGUUCCGUGGAGCCGCCCCUGGCGGACCUCUCUGGUUGACCUCGGAUUAGAUAAGGAUACCCGCUGAACUUAAGCAUAUCAAUAAGCGGAGGA
RNAcentral lists this unclassified non-coding RNA (330 nucleotides) under soil metagenome. Its description in RNAcentral is "partial contains 5.8S ribosomal RNA, internal transcribed spacer 2, and large subunit ribosomal RNA". The stretch from base 1 to 121 matches the Rfam family "5.8S ribosomal RNA", at positions 35 to 154 of the family's 154-position model. The record is from RNAcentral.